AUAAACUUUUAAGACGGUUAACAUUACUACUAAUGAUCAUACUGUUACAAAAUCAGCAGGGCUGUUUGUAAACCCUUCCAACUGCAGUUGUGAAAGCUUUGCUUUCAUUAUAAUACUACCUCAGAACAUUUAUAUUUUCAAUAUUUGCUAAUGGCACCAAAUUCAGUUGAGGAUACACAGACUAAUCAAUAUGUAUUUAAUGACAAAUUACUUGAUCUUAUGUUUUGGAUCAGAUUAGGUGGGGCGGUAGAAGCCAGGAUGGUGCAGGAAAUACUGUUGGUGAAGAGGUGGAACAGGUCAAUAGCUUUCUUUCAAGGGCUGCUCUUACUACAAAGUACAUGACCAAGUCAGGUUGGUUGAAAAAACUAAAUCAUUAACCCUUGCGUGUGACACAAUUUACUAGAUAGUACAAUUGAUUUGUUAUUAUCUGUUUUGUGUUUUUAAGGCAGAGCAGAUAUGAUAACUGUGCUUGCCAUGGCAUGGAAUCAUAGGAAGGAAGAAAGUCUCCACAAGACACUGGUGAAAAGAUUUAUCAAAAGUACACAGAGAGCAGAAAUGGAAGCAGCCAAUCUUGAGAGUCUAAUGCAGGAGUUAAACAUCUCUAUGGAGGAUGCAGAUCAAUGGGUGUCUGAUGUCAAGCAAUGGGCAGCCACUGAGAGACACAGUACUCACAGUAGUCAGGAAGAGCUCCAGAGAGAAAUCGAUGAGAUUAUUUAUUCCAUCCGAAGAAAGAAGCAUGAUCUGUAUCGACAAAAUGACAGCAACCAAACAAGGCAACGCAAACGGAGGAGACUAAGUGAGCUCAAAAAGACACUCCAAGAGAAGAUAGUGCAGUACAACACCCUUCCUGGCUGUGAAGAGAAAAUUGACACAGAAGCAGCAUGCUGUCUCUCAGACGAUUUUAUUCUGCCUUGGGAAGCACAAGGAGAUGUGGUGAGUCUCCGCUUAAAGAGGCAACUGUUUGACCAAGUCAUGCUGGUCAGGCGCAUGGAGGAGGAGAAGAUAAUAAUUGUAAAGGAGAUGACUGGGAAUGAGUAGCAAGAGAAGAAAUGAAGUCUGCUUUGUUAACAGCAGACUGGCAGUUCCAGAGACCAACUGGAAUAGAGAGCGUAGUAGUAGAGGUCAGAGGGACAGGUCUUAGAUUUGUUACAUCGAGAUGUUGAUGCCAGUAAGCUAAUGUUAUGGUUUCUUGUACGUAUUGCUUCAAAUCUAAAAGUAAUUUUAAAUCACCAGUCUUGUUAGCUAUUUCUUAGUCCUUGGCAUUCAAACUGCAGUGCAUGUUUCCCACUAUAUAGUUCAUGAAAUGCUGCCUAAUUAUCAAUGUCAAUUUUCUUAACCCUUUACUUAAGAUCCACAUCGAGAGCUGACCGAAGAGGGGCAAAGGGGGCUACAUUGCUGUAUCUUACAUAAGCAGCACAUUCUGUAGCAAAAACUAGCAGCAGUCACCAGCACCUAUGGUAGUGUCAACACAGACCCUUUCUUCAUGCUGGAAGAAGAUGUUGAAGAGGAGAGUGAGGACAACAGCAGUCCACAGCUUUCUGAAGAAGAGUUUUAAAGUUUUAGCACAAACAUUGGAUUCACCAUCUUCAAAAGGACUCUUGAGAUUUGACUCUGGAAAUUAAAUAUAUUUCAUAUUAUAAAACAAAAUAAGUAAAAGUCUUUCUAAACCUGAGCUACUGUGUCUGUUGUUUUUUUCGUACACAAACAUGUUCUUAUUUUUCUCAGAUUUGGAUAACAGAAGCCUUUACAUUACCCAUGAUCCUCUGUCACCACUGUUACAGAGACACAGCUAGCACAGCUUGCUUACUUCUUGUUACUUUUAUAUUUCUGAUUUUACAUUGGGCAUUACAGAACACCUCAACUGCUACAUAAAUGUUAUUGCACAUUUAAUAAAAUGUAUAUUCACACACA
Long non-coding RNA from Cyprinus carpio (common carp), 1911 nucleotides. The record is from Ensembl. Lineage: Eukaryota; Metazoa; Chordata; Actinopteri; Cypriniformes; Cyprinidae.